This is a non-coding RNA of Pristionchus pacificus, 61 nucleotides long. The record is from Rfam. NCBI's taxonomy places the organism in Eukaryota, Metazoa, Nematoda, Chromadorea, Rhabditida, Neodiplogasteridae.
UCUUCAUUUCACACACUCUCUCACCGGUCAGCGAGACGAGAGAGUGUGUGAAAUGAAGAGA